RNAcentral lists this transfer RNA (72 nucleotides) under Marmota monax (woodchuck). RNAcentral describes it as "tRNA.Undet". The stretch from base 7 to 67 matches the Rfam family "tRNA", at positions 6 to 65 of the family's 71-position model. From Rfam's summary of the family: Transfer RNA (tRNA) molecules are approximately 80 nucleotides in length. Their secondary structure includes four short double-helical elements and three loops (D, anti-codon, and T loops). The record is from RNAcentral. Lineage: Eukaryota; Metazoa; Chordata; Mammalia; Rodentia; Sciuridae.
UGGGACUGUAGCUCAGUGGUAGAGCACUUGCCAACCACAUGCAAAGCCCUGGGUUCAAUCCCCAGCACACAA